AAGCAGAGCAGCAAGAUGGGACACCAUUCGGGACCUUGUCAUGGAGAAAUCUGCUGGGCCCUAUGACAAAGGUGAAUACUUGACCUCUGUGCAGAAGACCCUCUGUGAUAUCCAGGUGCUCUCCCUGAGCCGAGUUCCUGCGAUAGAAGAUAUGGAAAUCAGCCUGCCAAACAUUCACUACUUCAACAUAGACAUGUCCAAAAUGGGUCUGAUCAACAAGGAAGAGGUAAGAGGCCCACAUAGAAAAGCUGUCAUUGGCCUCCGGGUCAGGCAAGAGAUGGGAGGUGUUCAGAGCAGCAAACCCUACAAGAUGUUGGAGGCCAUUCACAAGCAAGCGCCUGCUUGGAAAAUAACGUGGGAUAAGAACAAUGAAAUAAUUUGAUGAGGAAAGUGUUGUGCUACAUUGAAUACUCACGUCACAAAAUGUGCUUCUACAUUAUGUAACUUACAUGGUCAAAUGACUGGUACAUUUUAUUCCUGUGCUAAUUUGUCAAUUCUGUUCCAAGAGGAAAGAGUCUAACAUGACUUUUCAAAAACAAAACAA
Homo sapiens (human) is the source of this 544-nucleotide long non-coding RNA. NCBI's taxonomy places the organism in Eukaryota, Metazoa, Chordata, Mammalia, Primates, Hominidae. The record is from Ensembl.